AUUUUCAUUACUUUUUUCCUUUUGGGUAAAGGUGAGGGAACAGGCAUGGUAGUAGCGGAUAAAAUUUGUACAGUUUCCUGUACUAUUUUUUGGGAAUAAAUCCAGAUUUAGAGAUCAGGGUGGGCAGCAUGACAUAUUUGGGGAGUGUUGGAAUUGAACAUGUAUGUAACAGGUUCCAUUAGAUUAAAAGACUGUCUUUUUCUUUCUUGUCAACACAGGAUUUAUAUCUUUGUUAGUAUUGAUUUUUUGUUUGUUAAAAGGAAGAAGUCAUUCAGAAGACUAGAUGAAUAUAGCUUAGUUUAAAUAAAUUAUUCUCAGAUGAUACAAAGACAACAAAUGAAGACACUCCAGGACAUGGAAAGAUGGCUUACCAAAGGCUGAUUAUAUUUGACAAAACUAGUACAUUUUUUGGUAAUUCCUUUUGUAAGCAAAGGAAGCGUCAUGUAUUUUUCAAUAAUUAUUUCACUUGAAGAUCUUUUAGUUAAACUCGACUUCAGAAGAAAUGUAUAGAAGAGGAUGAACAAGGCAGUGGGGAGAAGGCACUGAAAAAGAAGCAGCCUGUAUGCAGACAUUACUUCGGAACGCUUUGCAAAGGAGGCUUUUGAAUGUCAGUAACAUUUGCCUGAAAUCUGGAAAGCCUGGCUUUCAGGAGCCCCAGAAAGUGAGUGGCAGAAACCAUCUCAGUGGACACCUCUUAGAAGCAACUGUAUUCUUCCAGGACUUAAAGAAAAUUGUUGAUCAUCAUUUAUGUGAUGUUGCAAAUUUUAAUCUUGGUGUUUUCACUUGA
RNAcentral lists this long non-coding RNA (787 nucleotides) under Parus major (Great Tit). RNAcentral's name for it is "lncRNA (ENSPMJG00000012679.1)". The record is from RNAcentral. Lineage: Eukaryota; Metazoa; Chordata; Aves; Passeriformes; Paridae.